RNAcentral lists this transfer RNA (71 nucleotides) under Haemaphysalis longicornis (longhorned tick). It matches the Rfam family "tRNA". Rfam says of the family: Transfer RNA (tRNA) molecules are approximately 80 nucleotides in length. Lineage: Eukaryota; Metazoa; Arthropoda; Arachnida; Ixodida; Ixodidae. RNAcentral also lists the same sequence under 1 other name. The record is from Rfam by way of RNAcentral.
GCUUCGGUGGUUCAGUGGUAGAAUACUCGCCUGCCACGCGGGUGGCCCGGGUUCGAUUCCCGGCCGACGCA